UACGUAGGGGGCGAGCGUUGUCCGGAUUUAUUGGGCGUAAAGAGCUCGUAGGCGGUUUGGUAAGUUGGAUGUGAAAUCUCCAGGCUCAACUUGGAGGGGUCAUUCGAUACUGCCAUGACUAGAGUUCGGUAGGGGAGUGUGGAAUUCCUGGUGGAGCGGUGAAAUGCGCAGAUAUCAGGAGGAACACCCGUAGCGAAGGCGGCACUCUGGGCCGGAACUGACGCUGAGGAGCGAAAGCGUGGGGAGCGAACAG
This 253-nucleotide ribosomal RNA is filed under the name uncultured bacterium. RNAcentral describes it as "partial 16S ribosomal RNA". It matches the Rfam family "Bacterial small subunit ribosomal RNA", at positions 524 to 775 of the family's 1533-position model. The record is from RNAcentral.